RNAcentral lists this long non-coding RNA (1997 nucleotides) under Homo sapiens (human). Its description in RNAcentral is "HSALNT0332898". The record is from RNAcentral. Lineage: Eukaryota; Metazoa; Chordata; Mammalia; Primates; Hominidae.
UGAUUCUGAGGCCUCCCAGCCACGUCGAACUGGCCUAAAAUAGCAACCUGAAAUAUACUGGAUACACAAAAAAACUGUGUUUUAUGGAAUCUAAGAAGCCAUCGGUUACAGAAGAAGGAGAUGCCAGUGACAAGCAAAGUAACUCCCCCACGGCAUGGGAAGAGCCAGCAUCUGCUGCUGUCCAGGAAUACAGUCUCACUGCUGCAGUCAAGGAAGGCCAAAGAAGCCACCGGGGAAAACCAACCCAUCCCGGGGACACUGGAGGCUCACUCCUUCCUCGCUGCAUUCUGAGGCUGCUGCUUUGGAGUGAGAGAUUAUCCUCUGCUUCUCCUGAAAGAGAAGGUGAUAUGCCCAGGACCCUUCCUGAGUAAGAUGUGUUCCUCAGAGGUUAAAAAAGAAAAAAAAGCCCCAAACCCCUGAAACCAAGAAAUCAAGACAGCUCUGGUGGAGAAGCUUUUGGGAACUUGCUGGGGCAGGAGGCUUUUGUCCAUGCAGUAACUCAAGGUCUUCGACUCCUUCUGCCUUGUGGCCUUUCCAGGACCUGGAAUCCUCUACUUCCCAUUGGUGCAAAGGGAAACCGAGUGUGGAAAAGGAGCCAUUCUUAACCAACUUGGCCUGAAAGAGGGAAGCAUCACUUCUGUUCUUAUUCCAUGGGAGAGCUGCCUAGAUGGCCCUAUGUAGAUGAUAGAGGGUUUGGGAAAUUCUUAGUCUUAUGCUGAACAGACACUUUAAGGUGAUGAUUCUAUGCCAUGGAAGCAAAGAACAGGUUUGAAUGGACACAAUUAUGAGUCAGACACUAUGCUAAUUUCUGGAAAAAAAAAAGUAGGCAAAUCAUCAUCCUUUGGGGGGGUGAGAACCACAUAACAUAGGUACUCAACUAACCAAACAUGAUAUUCAAGUACUAAAUUAAGCCAUAUGUAAGCACAGAUGUAGGAGCAAAUAAUUCACUCAGAAAUGAACUCAGGGCAGAAGCUGUUGAAGGAAAGCAGAGAGGAGGAAGGAGAGAGUGUCCGACCUGAGCUAAGGCAUGAAGCUCAGAAGAUGUCUGAUAUGUCCAAAGACUGGUGAGCUUCUCGAUGUGUCAGAUGACCAAAAACUUGGGGAUAGAUGGGACUAGAAUAGAGAGGGCCUUGUGGGCUAUGCCUUGUGCAGCAAGAACUAGAAUUGAAAUGAUAAUAUGUAUUGUGAGCUUGAGGCUGCAAAUACAGGUCUCCUGACCCCAGUCCUUUUUUUGGAUAUUUUAUUCCAUAUGUGGAAGGAUACUGAUUUGUAAAACUCAAAGUCAUGUGUGACUUUUUAUGAUCAAAGGUGUUUGGUCUCUCACUGCAUGUUCUCACUUAUAAGUAGGAGCUGAACAAUGAGAACACAUGGAUACAGGGAGGGGAACAACACACACUGGGGCCUAUCCAGAGGGUAAUGGCGGGAAGGGAGAGCAUCAGGAAAAAUAGCUAAUGCAUGCUGGGCUUAAUACCUAGGUGAUGGGUUGAUAGGUGCAGCAAACCACCAUGGUACACAUUUACCUAUGUAACAAACCUUCACAUCCCACCCUUGUAUCCCGGAACUUAAAAAAAAAUGUAUUUGGUUUCUAAGAACAAAAAUAUAUUCCUGGCAGCCAUGUUAUUUACUGGGUAAGAAUAUGUCAUCUUAUAAAAGAGGCACAUUAAAAUGUAUUAAUUACCUCAUCUGAUUUCAAGGUUAAUAUUUCAUCACAUAUUUAAGUUUCCUUUCCUUUCCCCCCAAUACUUGCGGUAGUGAGUGUGCUUUCUUAUCAUGUCAGAGAGAGUUUGAAGUUCCAGGUAGCAAAAGAGGCUGAGGUUGUCUCAGUUGUUGCAGAUGGAGAUAAUCUUGCACCAUUCUGAGUAAGCCUGGCCUGGGAGAUGGACCAAAAACUGUGUCAUCAGAGGAUGAAGGUGGGUGACCAGUGGCAGGACAUAUACAUUACCUUCCCCCAAAGUUUUAGUAACCAGAAUCAGGGGCCUGGUUACGAGGUGUUGAUG